UGCAGUCGACGAUGAUCCGGUGCUUGCAUCGGGGAUUAGUGGCGAACGGGUGAGUAACACGUGAGUAACCUGCCCUUAACUUCGGGAUAAGCCUGGGAAACCGGGUCUAAUACUGGAUAUGACUGCCGGCCGCAUGGUCUGGUGGUGGAAAGCUUUAUGCGGUUUUGGAUGGACUCGCGGCCUAUCAGCUUGUUGGUGAGGUAAUGGCUUACCAAGGCGACGACGGGUAGCCGGCCUGAGAGGGUGACCGGCCACACUGGGACUGAGACACGGCCCAGACUCCUACGGGAGGCAGCAGUGGGGAAUAUUGCACAAUGGGCGAAAGCCUGAUGCAGCGACGCCGCGUGAGGGAUGAAUGCCUUCGGGUUGUAAACCUCUUUCAGUAGGGAAGAAGCCGCUUCGGCGGUGACGGUACUUGCAGAAGAAGCGCCGGCUAACUACGUGCCAGCAGCCGCGGUAAUACGUAGGGCGCAAGCGUUAUCCGGAAUUAUUGGGCGUAAAGAGCUCGUAGGCGGUUUGUCGCGUCUGCUGUGAAAGCCCGGGGCUCAACCCCGGGUCUGCAGUGGGUACGGGCAGACUGGAGUGCAGUAGGGGAGACUGGAAUUCCUGGUGUAGCGGUGAAAUGCGCAGAUAUCAGGAGGAACACCGAUGGCGAAGGCAGGUCUCUGGGCUGUUACUGACGCUGAGGAGCGAAAGCAUGGGGAGCGAACAGGAUUAGAUACCCUGGUAGUCCAUGCCGUAAACGUUGGGCACUAGGUGUGGGGGACAUUCCACGUUUUCCGCGCCGUAGCUAACGCAUUAAGUGCCCCGCCUGGGGAGUACGGCCGCAAGGCUAAAACUCAAAGGAAUUGACGGGGGCCCGCACAAGCGGCGGAGCAUGCGGAUUAAUUCGAUGCAACGCGAAGAACCUUACCAAGGCUUGACAUGUACUGGUAACGCCUGGAAACAGGUGCCCCCUUUUGGGCCGGUAUACAGGUGGUGCAUGGUUGUCGUCAGCUCGUGUCGUGAGAUGUUGGGUUAAGUCCCGCAACGAGCGCAACCCUCGUUCUAUGUUGCCAGCGCGUUAUGGCGGGGACUCAUAGGAGACUGCCGGGGUCAACUCGGAGGAAGGUGGGGACGACGUCAAAUCAUCAUGCCCCUUAUGUCUUGGGCUUCACGCAUGCUACAAUGGCCGGUACAAAGGGUUGCGAUACUGUGAGGUGGAGCUAAUCCCAAAAAGCCGGUCUCAGUUCGGAUUGAGGUCUGCAACUCGACCUCAUGAAGUCGGAGUCGCUAGUAAUCGCAGAUCAGCAACGCUGCGGUGAAUACGUUCCCGGGCCUUGUACACACCGCC
This 1333-nucleotide ribosomal RNA is filed under the name Arthrobacter sp. H17. RNAcentral's name for it is "bacterial SSU rRNA". It matches the Rfam family "Bacterial small subunit ribosomal RNA", at positions 56 to 1394 of the family's 1533-position model. Lineage: Bacteria; Bacillati; Actinomycetota; Actinomycetes; Micrococcales; Micrococcaceae. The record is from RNAcentral.